ACCUGACAUAAGAUGAUGAUACCAUUGGUUGAGAUAUUGAAAGAAACAUGUUUUUAUUGGUCCUCAUUUUCCCUCCACUUUUUGUCUGUAAGAAAGAUUUCUUUGUGUGAUUUGGCACUUUCGAGUCAGAUCUUGGAGAAGCCACUUGGGCUUACUAUUCUACUACUUUUUGCUGAACCUGGACAUGGCUUCAUACUCCUGACCCUGGGUCGACUGAAUAUUGAUUACAAUUGGAAGAGUCUAGGAACUCGGCCCAUAGCAAGAAUUCAGGAUAUCCAUGUAAAGAUAUGACAGACAUAUAUUAAUUCAUGAAAUUCGAUGAUAUACAUGCAAGAGUAAACGUGAACUGAUU
Mizuhopecten yessoensis (Yesso scallop) is the source of this 352-nucleotide long non-coding RNA. RefSeq lists it as uncharacterized. The transcript has 3 exons. The record is from RefSeq and is a predicted model, not a curated record. NCBI's taxonomy places the organism in Eukaryota, Metazoa, Mollusca, Bivalvia, Pectinida, Pectinidae.